This 481-nucleotide ribosomal RNA is filed under the name uncultured bacterium. RNAcentral describes it as "partial 16S ribosomal RNA". It matches the Rfam family "Bacterial small subunit ribosomal RNA", at positions 30 to 506 of the family's 1533-position model. The record is from RNAcentral.
AUUGAACGCUGGCGGCAUGCUCUACACAUGCAAGUCGAACGGUAACAGGCCGCAAGGUGCUGACGAGUGGCGAACGGGUGAGUAAUGCAUCGGAACGUGCCCAGUCGUGGGGGAUAACUACUCGAAAGAGUAGCUAAUACCGCAUACGAUCUAUGGAUGAAAACGGGGGACCGUAAGGCCUCGCGCGAUUGGAGCGGCCGAUGUCAGAUUAGGUAGUUGGUGGGGUAAAGGCUCACCAAGCCAACGAUCUGUAGCUGGUCUGAGAGGACGACCAGCCACACUGGGACUGAGACACGGCCCAGACUCCUACGGGAGGCAGCAGUGGGGAAUUUUGGACAAUGGGCGCAAGCCUGAUCCAGCAAUGCCGCGUGCAGGAAGAAGGCCUUCGGGUUGUAAGCUGCUUUUGUACGGAACGAAACGGCUCUGGUUAAUACCCGGGGCUAAUGACGGUACCGUAAGAAUAAGCACCGGCUAACUACGU